Molecule: unclassified non-coding RNA, 645 nt
Filed under: uncultured Prochlorococcus sp.
Lineage: Bacteria; Bacillati; Cyanobacteriota; Cyanophyceae; Synechococcales; Prochlorococcaceae
Description: partial 16S-23S ribosomal RNA intergenic spacer; may also contain 16S ribosomal RNA and 23S ribosomal RNA
Rfam family: tRNA (bases 304-376)
Source: RNAcentral
UUGUGGAGGAGGACGCCGAAGGUGGGGCUAAUGACUGGGGUGAAGUCGUAACAAGGUAGCCGUACCGGAAGGUGCGGCUGGAUCACCUCCUAACAGGGAGACAACAAAAUGUUUAAUAUUAUUAUUUUGUCACCUUAGGUCGAUCGGUAUCUCACUUUCUUAAUUUAUUAAGAAUUUCAUUUCCUAAGUUUUUCUAGGUCACACCCAUUAUUUUCCUGGGCCAUUAGCUCAGGUGGUUAGAGCGCACCCCUGAUAAGGGUGAGGUCCCUGGUUCAAGUCCAGGAUGGCCCAUAUCUCUAUGUUGGGGGUAUAGCUCAGUUGGUAGAGCGCCUGCUUUGCAAGCAGGAUGUCAGCGGUUCGAGUCCGCUUACCUCCACUGAUUACCACCUCAUACGUAAUCUGUAGAAAGGAAAAUUUUGAGUUGUGACUACCAUUCUGAACGAAUCUAGCUUCCUAAUGAAACUAUUAAGAUGCUGGACUCAUUGAAUUAAUUUCAUUGUUUUCAGAGAACCUUGACAACUGCAUAGAUUAUUUUUAAAGACAAUAAGCAUUUUUAAUGAUGCAGAUCUAUUAUUUGUGCAAAUGCAUUAAUAACAAUUCUAUUAAGCUGAUGCUUCAAUUAUGAAGUUAUUGGUCAAGCUACAA